Mugil cephalus (flathead mullet) is the source of this 588-nucleotide long non-coding RNA. RefSeq lists it as uncharacterized. The transcript has 2 exons. Lineage: Eukaryota; Metazoa; Chordata; Actinopteri; Mugiliformes; Mugilidae. The record is from RefSeq and is a predicted model, not a curated record.
AGAUGUGAAGUAUCUCCUUGAUCUUGUGGAGAGUCCAGACUAUAAACUGGAGACUCUGAGGCCAUGGAGGUGGUAACAUUAACCAGGAGGGUGUGUGUUGUGAGAGGACGAGCUGUGUCCUGAUGAUCCAGAGAUUGAAGCAGACUCUGACUGGACCAUGUUACUGGGAGGUGGAGAGGAGAGCUUCAUCCACAUGGUCUCCAUUUAAGACCAAAAAAAAUACUCAUUUGUGGGAAUUUCAACAUUGAUUUGCUGAUUCUAAAUCAGCAUAAAUCAACAGAUGAGUUCAUCCAAAUAAUGUAUAGUAUGAGUCUGAAUGACACCAGUGACCACCUGCCUGUCUUUCUUAUUCAUGAAUGUAAUUAUAUAACAAUGAGAGAAUUAAAGGAAAUUAAAUAUAAGAGAAUAAGUUUUACAUUCCCAGAUCUAUAUGAUAAGCACUGCCCUCUUAAACAGUGUAACACCAAGAACCAUUUGACAGAAAACCCAUGAAUGACCAAGGGGCUUCAAAAUGCCUGUAAAAAAUGAACUGCUUGUAGAGACUGUUUAUAAAAUAAAACAAAAGAGGCAGAGUUUAAAUAUAAGAUA